This 274-nucleotide ribosomal RNA is filed under the name uncultured bacterium. RNAcentral describes it as "partial 16S ribosomal RNA". It matches the Rfam family "Archaeal small subunit ribosomal RNA", at positions 473 to 747 of the family's 1478-position model. The record is from RNAcentral.
AAACCAGCACCUCAAGUGGUCAGGAGGUUUAUUGGGCCUAAAGCAUCCGUAGCCGGCUCAGUAAGUUUUCGGUUAAAUCUGUACGCUCAACGUACAGGCUGCCGGGAAUACUGCAGAGCUAGGGAGUGGGAGAGGUAGACGGUACUCGGGAGGAAGUGGUAAAAUGCUUUGAUCUCUCGAUGACCACCUGUGGCGAAGGCGGUCUACCAGAACACGUCCGACGGUGAGGGAUGAAAGCUGGGGGAGCAAACCGGAUUAGAAACCCGAGUAGUCC